CACAACACACACAGCAGACAGAAACAAGCUGUAAUUACAAAGAUUAUCCACUGUCAGCUCUCUCUCUCUCUCUCUUUCGCUGUGGCUGUUUGGUUUCAGCUCUUUUAAUGAAAAUGUAAACAUUCAUCACUCAAAUCACAAAAACAUUCAACUGUGUUGUUAAUUUUAGGAAAGGUACCUGUGUGACAUUAAGGCAUUAUAUGAGUUAAGCUUCUCAUUCCAUUUACGUGACCUGUCAAUAUUUGCUUAGAAACAUUCACAACAACUGUAAUUGAUGUAAUUGAUGCAAAAUCCACCUGAAGCUGUCUGUCUGUGUCAGCGGUGACAGAAUGUCUCUCUCUCUGUCAGACAGUCAUGAUGCUUGUGUGUGUCUGCUCUUUAAAUUCAGCUGCACAGACGCAGAUGCUCACAUCUGCAGGACCCAGCGCUCUGACAGCCUGCCGCUGAUUUUUCACUGAGAGAUCAGACAGAGCCAUGUCGUACUUCUACAGAUCUGAGCAAACGGCGAGACUUCUCCUGAUGAUGUGUGUGUGGGGAAUCUUCCCUCUGCCAGCAGAGCAGUACCCUGUUCGAGAGGGUUUCAGUCUGCUGCUGUAUCCGUUGUCGGUGAUGGGGCCAUACGGAUCUCACACGGUUCUGAUACCAGUGACCGGGACUGAGCAGAACACACAACGCAGCCAAAAUCCGCAGGCAAACAACAGCAAGAUCAGCGCUCAAAGUGUGUCCAAGCUUUUACAUGCAAACAGUGCAUUUCCCCAGCCGGACCCUGGCCAUGGCCCUGCCCUGGACUCUGCUCCCAGCCCCGCUCCUGACCUUCACACAGUCCCAUCGGAGUCUUUGGUUAUGCGGGGGCAGAUAUCAAAUUUCGUCCCUUCAAACGUCCCUCUGCAGGUCUAUUCAUUUGUCCAGCAGGCUGUAAUUUUAGACUCAGGCAGUUCAGAGGAAGGAGCUGCUGCUCAAGUGAUUUAUAUGGUUCCUAUCAGCGUGGAUUCACCCAACGUGAGUGUAAUGGAGGGCACCGUGCCCAAUCCUGACCCAGGACACCUGCAGAUCCCAGCCAGCACCCCUGCUGUGGCCACUGCGGCACAACCGGACGCUCAGGGACAGCUGGGGAAAACUGUGGGGACAGAAAGAGCCACGCAGACACGCUCUGGGAGUGAAAGGCCUCUGACCACAAGCACUCCACAGGAAACACAUCAGCUGUCAAGAAAAUGAAAGGCCAUUCACUGAUGCUUGGAAACUGUUGUGUGCGGAAUUGUAAAAUAACUUCAGCCAUAAAACAGCUCUAUAGUCAAUGUGUUGUCAUUAUUCAGUGAGCUCAUUUAUUAGUUUCAGCUGAUCAUAGCUUAAUCUAUACAAUGAAUAUUAGUUUUCUUUUAAGCCCCAGAUCAUGUCAUAUUAAAUUCUCUUUACUGUGACUGUAGUUCAGAAGUGCUCCCAACAAUCAUCAACGUUUAAAUCCAACUCUCCUUUUAGACUUUAUACUUUGGAUAUGAAAAAGAGGCAAGUUACAAAGAAACACUGAGGUUUUAAUUUAUUUAAGGCAACAGAGGAGGUGAAUUCUGUCUGAUUACACAACGAGACGCUACCAGAUAAACAAGACAAAUGAUUGUGCUUAUCAUGUUUGUGUUAUUUGCCUUCGAAUAACACUGGAGUGCGAUUGAACUGCUGAUUGUCGUUUUUGGGAUGUGAGUUACUGUGAGAACUUGGCAUUUCCUCCUGGUGUGUGUGACCUUUGACCUCAGUAUCAUUUCCAUUCAGCGGAUUCGUUUAUUUACAUUAAAGUCUGGUGCCGUCCUUUAUUUGUGUGUUUAUCUAUUGAUAAUGGUUUGUUCCUGUAGUAAAUAACCUAGAAAUUUUCAUCUCUUCUAUUAUUGUGGGUAAAAGUAGUGAACUUAAUGAGACAUGAGUGGAUUUUGUCCUCUGUGACACAAAGUUCUUUAAUAUUCUAACUCUUAUUUAUUUAUCUUUACAUUCUAUAAGUGAAGUGUUUGUUCUAUAGCAAUACAG
Molecule: long non-coding RNA, 2010 nt
Organism: Cyprinus carpio carpio
Lineage: Eukaryota; Metazoa; Chordata; Actinopteri; Cypriniformes; Cyprinidae
Source: Ensembl